CCGGCCGAGGGCAGGGGAAGCCCCCCGAGGCGCCGCGCGCGGGGUUCCAGGGCGUCCCGGGAAACCCGGGGCGCAGGACGCACGGUGCGCAGGCGUCCCGCGGCACUUUCCGAGCGCGCAGGGGGUUAAGUGGGACCCGCGGGGGCGGCGGAGAGCCGGGCGGCGCCCAGGAUCCGGCCCAGACGGCGCUCGUGGGCGUUAUUAACAAGGAGCGCAGGUGCCGCUGAGAACGCGCUCGCCGAAGCCGAGCCCCGGAGCCAUGGCCUUGAGCGAGCUGGCACUGCUCCGCUGGCUGCAGGAGAGCCGGCACUCGCGGAAGCUCAUCCUGUUCAUCGUGUUCCUCGCGCUGCUGCUGGACAACAUGCUGCUCACCGUCGUGGUCCCCAUCAUCCCAAGUUACCUGUACAGCAUCGAGCAUGAGAAAGAUGCUAUAGAAAUCCAGACUGCCAAGCCAGUGCCCAAAGCCUCCACCUUCGGCGGCUUCCAGAACAUCUUCUCCUAUUAUGACAACUCCACCGUGGUCGCCGGCAAUAGCACCGGCAGCCUUCAGGGGGCGCUGCUGCAUGAGGCCACCACGCAGCGCACAGUGACUAACAGGUCCACUGCCCCUUCCGACUGUCCCAGUGAAGACAAAGACCUCCUGAAUGAGAACGUGCAGGUCGGCCUGUUGUUUGCCUCGAAAGCCACCGUCCAGCUCCUCACCAACCCGUUCAUAGGACUGUUGACCAACAGGAUCGGCUAUCCAAUUCCAAUGUUCACGGGAUUCUGCAUCAUGUUUAUCUCAACAGUUAUGUUCGCCUUCUCCCGCAGUUACGCCUUCCUGCUGAUCGCCAGGUCCCUGCAGGGCAUCGGUUCCUCCUGCUCUUCUGUGGCUGGGAUGGGCAUGCUGGCCAGCGUGUACACAGAUGACGAGGAGAGAGGCAAUGCCAUGGGGAUUGCCCUGGGAGGCCUGGCCAUGGGGGUCUUAGUGGGCCCCCCCUUUGGGAGUGUGCUGUACGAGUUUGUGGGGAAGACAGCUCCGUUCCUGGUGCUGGCUGCCCUGGUGCUCUUGGACGGAGCUAUUCAGCUCUUCGUGCUCCAGCCAUCCCGGGUGCAGCCAGAGAGCCAGAAGGGGACGCCGCUAACCACCCUGCUGAAGGACCCGUACAUCCUCAUCGCCGCAGGAUCCAUCUGCUUUGCAAACAUGGGGAUUGCCAUGCUGGAGCCAGCCCUGCCCAUCUGGAUGAUGGAGACCAUGUGUUCCCACAAGUGGCAGCUGGGCGUUGCUUUCUUACCAGCUAGUAUUUCUUAUCUCAUUGGAACCAAUAUUUUCGGGAUCCUUGCGCACAAGAUGGGGAGGUGGCUUUGUGCUCUUCUAGGAAUGAUAAUUGUUGGAUUCAGCAUUUUAUGUAUUCCUCUUGCAAAAAACAUUUAUGGACUCAUAGCUCCCAACUUUGGAGUUGGUUUUGCAAUUGGCAUGGUGGAUUCGUCAAUGAUGCCCAUCAUGGGCUACCUGGUUGACCUGCGGCACGUGUCCGUCUAUGGGAGCGUGUAUGCCAUUGCCGAUGUAGCAUUUUGUAUGGGAUAUGCUAUAGGUCCUUCCGCUGGUGGGGCUAUCGCAAAGUCAAUUGGAUUUCCAUGGCUCAUGACAAUUAUUGGAAUAAUUGAUAUUCUUUUUGCUCCUCUCUGCUUUUUUCUCCGAAGUCCACCUGCCAAGGAAGAAAAAAUGGUGAGGAUGAAGAAUCUGAAAGUGACUGAGACCCUCAGAAGUCAUCCAAGUAUCUAAUUGUAUAAAACAGUAUUUCCAGUGAAAUGACUCAUCCAGAACUGUCUUAGUGAUACCACUCAUCCCUGGUGAAAGAGUAAAACAACCAAAGGUUUUCUUUUCCAUGGUUAUGAUCGAUUGCCAACAGCCUUAUAAAGAAAAAGCAGCUUUUCUAGGGACUUCUGAACGUUGUUCACAUCAAUGUGAAAACAAAUUUUACAUGAAGAUGAAGAAGGAAUGAAAUUGUCUUGAAUCGUGUUAGGAAAACAGGUAAAAAUAACAGGGUGGUCAGGGCACACCCCCUUUCACAGGCAGGAAAAAAACCCAAACAUCUAAGAAUGUCUGUAAUACUGUAUCACCUAGUGCUGUGUGUGAUGUAGUUUUUCUAAGCAUGACAUUGAUGUGCCUUUUCGAUGUGACAGCAAGUACUGUGUUAGUGAACAUUGUUAGUUUACAUCGAGUUUUGUAUGAGAUAUGAAGAUAGUGUGGAAUGUCUCAAAUAACACUUGUUCAUUCUGUAGUUCUGUAAUCGUAAACAAAAACUACUUAAUGUCAGCUCUUUGUUAAGCUAAAAUUGUGCUCCUGUUAACUUGGAAGGACCCCUCAACCUUAUAAUUCUCUAAGAAAGUAGCUAAUAACUUCCCAUUUUCUUUAUGAAGCUUUUCUUGUGGGGCUUUGAGCUGAAGUCUGGUCUUCAAGUGCAUGUGUUGGAAGCAAACAAGCGUCCUACUCGUGUAUUUGCGUUGGGCGACUUACACAAGGACUCUGCUUUGCUGGAGGCACUUCUGUGGCUAAAGUAAAAAAGGCAGGACUGUUCUCUACUUCUGGAGGGGAGAGCCUUAAAAAAGAAAUGUGCUGCAAAUCAAUUCUCUGGCGGGGUUUGUGGUUCUCCUCACUCCCAAUACCAUGUAACUUAUCCCUCUUUUAUUUUUGCCUGCAAGGUUUCAGUCUCUUCAAGAAUGACUGGCAGCCAUGUCUGCUGGUGAUCCCUAGAGAUCAUAUAAAAGAUACAUAUUUUUCAGAACUGUUUUGAGAGCAAAAGGUAUCAGUUGUAUCUGAAGGGGAAAAAAAUUGUAAGGUCUUUUAUAUGACCAGUAUUCUGGGAUUGGCAAGACUAUGGAAAAAAAAGCUUUUUUUUUUUUUUUUUUUUUUUUAAUGUGUGUAUCAGAACAAAGAACACACAGCUCUCUGAACAUUUAUUUUUUGAGCAGAGGUGUUUUUUAUGUUUGUACCUGGCAAAACAGAUACAAAAAGCUUAAUGAGGUAGUGAUGAAUAUUCAAUUCUUUUGACUGCUAACUGUAUCCACGUACGUCAUGUUUUAGCUAGUUUACUUAAUAAAUCUUCUGAACACUACCGUGCCUGUUGUAUUCCUUUGUUAACCAGAUAUUAUCAUUGGAAUAAAAUAUGUGAGAAGGUACUG
Molecule: non-coding RNA, 3165 nt
Organism: Delphinapterus leucas (beluga whale)
Lineage: Eukaryota; Metazoa; Chordata; Mammalia; Artiodactyla; Monodontidae
Source: RefSeq, a predicted model, not a curated record